This 258-nucleotide ribosomal RNA is filed under the name Triticum aestivum (bread wheat). Its description in RNAcentral is "partial small subunit ribosomal RNA". Lineage: Eukaryota; Viridiplantae; Streptophyta; Magnoliopsida; Poales; Poaceae. The record is from RNAcentral.
AUGGCCUUCCCGUCAUCCCUCAAGGUAGCUGCCAUUGCUGCCGUGCUGGCGCUAGUCAUGUUGUCUUCUUCCCCGUGGCAGGCGGCGGCGCAGAUGCAGUGCAGCAGGUGCACCGAAGACUGCAACUCUUCGUGCGAUGGCUCCAGUAGCAGCGUGAGAUGCAGCAAGACCUGCGCCACUCCAACCUUGCAGUGCGCUAACUGCCAGAGAUGCAUGAACUCUUGCUUAAGCUACUGCCAAUCCACCUGCGCUAAUUAA